This is an RNA transcript of Nycticebus coucang (slow loris), 9904 nucleotides long. It is a transcript of the gene named RNA binding protein, mRNA processing factor, with no coding region annotated. Lineage: Eukaryota; Metazoa; Chordata; Mammalia; Primates; Lorisidae. The record is from RefSeq and is a predicted model, not a curated record. The transcript has 9 exons.
AUCGCGGACUUCAGAGCCUGCCUGGAGCGCGCACUCAGCGGCUCUCCGGGUCCAGCGUCCCAGCCGCGGCCCGCGCCCCACACCUCCUCCUCCUCCUCUCCGAGCACCCCUCUUCCCCUCCUGCCAGAAGCUGCCUCCAGCCCCAUCUCGGCUACAUCCCCAACUCUCCGGGCUCUCUCCUGGGACGCGCGUCCUCGCCCCAUCCUUUCUUCCUUCCUUCCUUCCUCCCCUGGCGCCCGCCCUCCCUCUCCAGGUCUCCCUCCCGGGGCCCGAUUGUCUCCGUCUCCUCUCGCUCGGCCCGCGCCCUCGCCCUGCCCCGACUCUCCCUCGCACUUCCUGAGUCGCCCAGCGCCGCAGUCUCGCCGCGCCCCGGCAGCCGCUGCCCCGCUCCAGCCCCCGCAGCCCGCGGCGCCCGCCGAGGGAGCCCCGGCGCCCGCGGAAGGCAGAAGUGGGCGCGCGCCCUCGCCCAGCCCCGCGUCCCAGCCCUGCCCGGCGACGAAGGACCGGGAAGAUGAACAACGGCGGCAAAGCCGAGAAGGAGAACACCCCGAGCGAGGCCAACCUUCAGGAGGAAGAGGUCCGGACCUUGUUUGUCAGUGGUCUUCCUCUGGAUAUCAAACCUCGGGAGCUCUAUCUGCUUUUCAGACCAUUUAAGGGCUAUGAGGGUUCUCUUAUAAAACUCACAUCUAAGCAGCCUGUAGGCUUUGUCAGUUUUGACAGUCGCUCAGAAGCAGAAGCUGCAAAGAAUGCUUUAAAUGGCAUCCGCUUCGAUCCUGAAAUUCCGCAAACACUACGACUAGAGUUUGCUAAGGCAAACACGAAGAUGGCCAAGAACAAACUAGUAGGGACUCCAAACCCCAGCACUCCUCUGCCCAACACAGUACCUCAGUUCAUUGCCAGAGAGCCAUAUGAGCUCACAGUGCCUGCACUUUACCCCAGUAGCCCUGAAGUGUGGGCCCCGUACCCUCUGUACCCAGCGGAGUUAGCGCCUGCUCUACCUCCUCCUGCUUUCACCUAUCCCGCUUCACUGCAUGCCCAGUGUUUCUCUCCUGAGGCAAAGCCCAACACACCUGUCUUUUGUCCACUUCUCCAGCAAAUUAGAUUUGUCUCUGGGAAUGUGUUUGUAACAUAUCAACCUACUGCAGACCAGCAGAGGGAGCUCCCAUGUUGAAUUUGUUUGUUAACUAUUUUUCUCCCCUUUUGCAAAAACUUUCUUGGCGACGCUUGAGAGAUUUCAAUAAAAAUUUUAAUCAGAGCAAAAAUGGUCUCCAGUAGACUGCAGCGUUUUGUUUUUGUGGCAAUGCAAUUUUGGAACUAAAGUGUUACUCUAAGAUUUUGGGAGAAGUGGGCCCAGGCUGCUAAGUAUACCUUACAUAGGAGAAGACUCACAGAGAGCAUCCUGGGGAGGCCAGACGUCGAGCCUCACACUGCUGCCGCCUGCCUCUUCUCGGCGAGAGCUGCCUACUGGAAGAUUCUCGCUUGGACCUCCAUGAGUCAUCCUCCGGGAGAUCUCGCUUCAGCAGGGAUGGUGUAUCUAGCUAGUGGAAGUACAUAUGAAACAAAUGGAUACAUUUUCCAGCCUGCCCACUGUGAUCCAGAGAAAAGAAGACCUGGGAGACAGAAACUGUCAUUGAAAUGGAGUUGAGUCACAUGUGUAACCCUGACCCAGUUUCACUUGUGGUUUGGUGCCCCUUCAAAUUCCCCAGCUCUAAAUUGAACAUAUUUAUUUGCUAUCAGAUCCCAUUUUUUAGAAGUUAUUGGAUAAGGUAAUAGAACUUAAAGCCCUAGUACUGCUUUCUUUUAGAGAUUAAAGAGCGAAACUGUGCAGCACACCUGUGAUUUCUAAGAUAAUAUUUUAGAAGUGAUUAUCUGGUAUUUGAAGUUUAUUAAAUACUGUUUAUUAUGUAAGCCACUCUGGAUAAGACAGGAAAGUUAUAGUCCGAAGAGUACACAGCUCUUCCUGGCUCAUAUUCACACACCUCCAGAGGCUUUUUAAGUCUGGGUUCCAUUUUUCCUUUUAGUCUUAUUGCUGACGGGGCAGGGAGAAAACUCAUGAGAAAAUCACUAAAGUGUGCUGUCCUCACCCCAUUCUAGAAAUACAGCAUUUGCCCUUUACUAGAGUCAGAGACACAAUGUCUGCCCAGAAACUUGCAGGUAAGUAGGACUAAUUAAGUCCUGGUUACCUGUUUUCUGUUUUAAAGGCUUCAUCUGCCCUCGGUAACAGUGGUUCUCUCAGGAUUCAUAUACAUGCCUAUACGUAAACAGUUUAAAAAUCAUUGCACAGACUUCCUGGGGGCAGGCGUGCAUGCCUCUUGGGAGAUCCCUUAUGACACACUGGAAAAUUUUUAAAGGUUAAACUCAAAAUAAAUACAGAAAUGAAUCAUGGGAAAAGAGACAUGGGCAAACAGGCCCAGGAGAUCACAAAGGCACAGAUGGCCUACAAAAAGUGUGUGAGCUGCCUAACUGAAGGACUGACCCAGGAUGCAACUUCUGAGAACUGGAUUUUAAAACAUUUUUUUAAUCGGGGACUUACAUGGCAAGGGCUCCUAUUUUCCAGCUCUCCUGCUUAUUUGGGAGGCAGUAGCCAAAGCCAUAAGUGUGGUUGGCCUGUUCGGGAACCUGUGAACAGAACCAUCUCUGGGACCUGUGGAAGGUAGGGUCCAUACCUCACCAAGUGCUGGCCUGCCUCCCAAAGGCGAGGAAUCAGGAGAUUGUAGUUCUUUGCUUCUGUGGAUCCCAGAUCACAUUAGCACUUAACCCAUGACUUCCUUGAACUUGAGGCAUGGUUUUUCCAGAGGCGUAUUGUCUUCUUCCAGACCUAAGGUUUUUGACUGUAUGGAAUACCCCCGUGUUGGAGGACUACAGAGGUUACCUUUGGGGCUGUUCUGCCCAAGGCUUUAGGUUGUUUUCAAACAUAUAUGAAAGUAUUAAUCCUCAGACAUUUACCUUUCCUUAAAACCCUGUAGUUCUCUGAAUGUCAGACUAAGAAAAAACUGCCUCGGAGUGUUACAUCUCCUGAAAGUGCCAGUCUUGCCUGCCUUCCUGUUUUGUGAGGCUUUCUAGGAGCACCUAGGUUAGCUCUCCUAGGAGAUGGGGCAGGGUGGGCAGGCAUUGUGCUGGCAACACCAGCCUUCUGUGAGUUCCAUACCUGCCCCACGAGGCAGGGGGCUGUGAACUAACCCCUUUGGGAGACCUUUGAGAUGCUGCUUUUCCUUUCUGAGUCCGAAAGUGGUGGAGGUGUGGGAAUACAGACUCCAGCUACCUGGUCAGACACAGGCUCUGCCACGUACAAGUUGUCUAACCUUGAUUGAGUGAGGUCCUUAACCUCUCUUGACAUCAGGGAAAUGGGGUUAUUAAUAUCAUGUAGAAGAAUUUACAAGAGUGGCUAGCAUAAAGUAAGGGAUUAGUAAAGGUUUACUUUAAACAAAAAAAGAAUCUUUGGGCGGUGCCUGUGGGCUUGGUGAGUAGGGUGCCGGCCCCAUAUACCAAGGGUGGUGAGUUCAAACCUGGCCCUGGCCAAACUGCAACAAAAAAAUAGCCUGUAGUCCCAGCUACUCCGGAAGGUGAGGUAAGAGAAUCACCUAAGCCCAAGAGCUGGAGGUUGCUGUGAGCUGUGAUGUGACAGCACUCUACCGAGGGUGACAAACUGAAACCCUGUCGCUAAAAAAAAAAGAAGAAGAAUCGUUCCUUUUAAUUUACCUUUAAGAGCAAUAUGAAUUUUCAGCAAGGAAAAGGAAGCCCAGGACUAAGCCAGCCUACCCACAAGGCAGUGGUAGCUCAAACAUGUAGCACACUGUAUAGCACAUUUGGACAACACUAAUAGGGGCUGCAGAGCCUGGCUAUAGCCAAAUGGAAAGCCAGAGUCUGGAGGAAUGCAUGAAGGACAGAGAGUUAAAUGAGGCAUUUAAGUGACAGAGUGCCACCUACAUUACCAAGUGACAGCAUCUGCCCUGCAGCGACACAGUGGUGCCAGCAUUGGAGGAAUUUUCCUCCAGGCUAGGCCAGGACAUGCCUGCCAGAAGAAAACCUACCUUGACAGGAUACGGUCCAGAGUGAGAAGCAGUUAAAAUCCCAGAGAAACGGAACAGCCCUGUGGUUUGCUUUAUACCAGCGGUUCUCAAGCUAUGGGUCGUGACCCCUCUGUAACAAUGAAAAUAUAUUGCAGCAUUAGGAAGGUUGAGAACCAAUGCUUUAUGCAAACCCGCUAUUGCUGAACUUUCCAGCUGCUGCCUUAUCUUGCUUUCCCAUCAGAAACUGGAGAAGAGAAAAAGACCCACAGGUCAUUGGCCUGUUCCUCCCUAGUCUCUGGUACUUUCUUCCCAUAGUUGUUCUAUUAGGGUUCCCCUCAGUCUUGUUUCCAGGCAGGGGGGUUAGCAUACAUUCUGUGCUGUGGAAGACUCCCUUCGUAGUCCCGUGACUCUUAGCCAAGCAGAUUCUUUCUCUGAGCCCUUCAUCUGCCGAGGAGUCCCGUACUCAAUAAGGCAGUGAGAGACAUUUAUUUACCUUGUUACCUGGCCUCUUUAGAACCUAGCAAUCCAGAAUCAGUCAUCCAGAGGUGUUGGGUUAGAGCUGUUGCUAUUGAAGCCCAGACUGGCCUGUUGGCUCUGGCCAAGGUCACUGAUCUCAAAAAGACUUAGAAACCACAGUACUUUUGCCACGUUUGGAGAAAUUGCUCAGAGUGGGCCUCGGUUACCCACUCUGAGCCCUGUUCUCCACGUUUCUUACGUGGGUUCUGUUUUGUCCUCUGUAAGGCUAAACUCCCUACAUCCUAUGUGAGUACCCCCAACCUCGUUAGCAGUAAGUCCCCACCCUGAGUCUCGGUGAGUGGCACCUGUAUGUACUGUUUGUGAGCUCACCUCCUCCUGGGAUUAAAAAAAUGUGUGGGGUGGCGCCCAUAGCUCAGUCAGUAGGGCACCGGCCACAUACACCUAGGGUGGCAGGUUCGAACCUAGCCCAGUCCUGCUAAGCAACAAUGACAACUGCAAACAACAACAAAAAAAGCCAGGCGUUGUGGCGGGUGCCUGUAGUUCCAGCCACUUGGGAAGCUAAGGCAAGACAAUUGCUUAAGCCCGAGAGUUUGAGGUUGCUAUGAGCUGUGAUGUCAUAGCACUCUACUGAGGGUGACGACUUGAGACUCUCUCAAAAAAAAAAAAAAAAAUGGUCCAGUUGUCACCAUAGGGUGGUGCAGAGGGCCUGGAACCUAAUUGGGACUCAGUGUUUUUAAAUCUGACAAAGAUUUUAAUGAGUUUUUGCCCACACUGCUACCUUUGAGAUUUUAGGCAAGGUUUUUUUUAUUGUUUUGUUUUGGUUUUUUUAUCUCACUGAGCCUCCGUGUUUCCUCAGCUAUAAAUUAGAAGAAUAAACACCUGCUUCAUGGAGUUACUUUGCAUUCAAAAGUAAAAUGUUGGGCAGAAAUUAGUAGUGACAACUAUGACAGCAGCUCCUCCAUCACCUUCCCUUGUCAGAAUUGACCUGGCUCAGGGGUUCCUGGCCCUCCGUACAAUCUUCAGAAGCACUUAGGAUACAGGCACUCCAGACCAGGACCCUGAUGACAGAGGUGCCUGGGCUUGGUAAAUAGGAGAAGUGGCUGGAGCCAGGGCAGGUAUGGUCUGCAGCUUGUGGCACGUAUUGAGAAGUGCCUCUGUGGGUCAGCUGGCCAUCCAUGCAGGCUUUUUGGCCUCCUUCCCUAGGCUUAGGCACCCAAAUGCCAUCCACAAAUAUGUGAAUUCUAACUGCUUUGGAAACAAAACCAAGGCUGCGAAGAAACUUUGGAACUGUAGUCUUUAUGCUUGUGUGAAAGGAGAAAGUGAACUUUCACUUGAAGAAAACCAAUUGUGAUGGGGGAUGGGGAGGGAACUCAACUCCAAAUGGGAUCAUGUUUUAUUCAGGAUUUGUGCUGCCAGUAGGGAGCACCCGAACCCAAUGACAGGAUGGGAAAGUGGGACGCCCCAACUUAAGCUUCAUGCAUUCUGCCACAAAGUUCCACUUGCUUCACUGAGCUCAGCUCCUGGGGACCUCUAAUGGCCCUUGAUAGCAAACAUGGUUAAAAAUUAACAGACUGACAAAAUUAAAUAUGGAUGACAGGCAACCACUGUGGACUUAAUCUGACACAGGGUGUUACACGCUUGGGUGCCCUUAACCCGAGUGGCGUCUUAAAGAACUUCUAAGAUGUCUGAGCACAUUUCACAAGCCUGUUGUGCUUAAGACAGACAAAGAGUCUAAAAGCCCAGGAGAAAAAAAUUCUCCCUAAAAGUAUGUUUAAUUAAACCAGCCUUGAUUGGUCUUGGCAGGAGGAGUUCACAGUCCCAGGACCUUGUUCUUGCCGUCUGGAUCUUAUGCCUGCCUUGGCUUGGACUCCGCACCGCCCUGCCGGGAGAUCUGCAAAGACAGUGGUUCUCAACCUUCCUAAUGCCAUGAUCUUUAAAGCAGUUCCUCAUGUUGUGGUGACCCCCAACCAUAAAAUUAUUUUCGUUGCUUAACAGUGAAACAUGACGAACUGUAUUAAAGGGUCACGGCAUUAGGAAGGUUGAGAACCAUUGUUUAAGAGCACAUGGCUGGGGUGGUCAUGGCCUUCUCCAGCCAGGCCUUUUUUGCUCACCUUUUCUCCAGCUGUUGUGGUAGGUGAGAUGGCAGACGUCCCCUUUGAACCCAGUCACAUAAUUCUGAACAUUUUGCCUAGAACCUUAGGGGUAUUUUUGUAUCGUAAAUCAUUACUUCAGCCUAUUUGGUGAAUUUGGAGUUUCUUGAACCACAUAUGCUUGGGGCAGCUUGUCAACAUGGCAGGCUCUGACAGAGCUUGCCUUGUAGGGCCUGAGACACUAUUUGGUGACUCUACCCAAGAGUGGGUCCUGAGGUAUAGUAAAUCAGCAUGAGUGGCCCGCUGCAGACGGCUCCGUGUUGGAAAAGUGUCUCCACCAGGUAUUCAGGGCUUCAUUUGGGGGAGAGUGGUAGAACCUGCUUGAGAAUAUCCAUGCCUUGAAAUCCAAUUAGUCCGUUUGUUUGAGAUAACAUACAGUUCACAUAAACAGUUGAAAUUAACUGCUUGUAACUGUUUGUCAAAAGAGGGAUAUCUUAGUUCUGAAUAUGGUGCUGGAGAAAUCUGCAGUCAUAUCUAGCACCUGUGUUAGGAAAGGCGAGAGAAAAAUCUUAGCUUUUCCCUGUAGACUAGACAUCCAGGGCACCAGCUGCUGUGAUCUUCCAGCCCUCUUAUUUUUAUUAGGAGCCACAUUGGCUCACCUCAGCCUCUUAGACUCACCAAAUGUUAACUACUGGAAGGCUGUCCAGACCAGCAUUUUUACCACCCACAGGUAUUAAUAGUCGUUACAUAUUAAAAAGAUUCUGCAGUCAGAUAAACUUGGGAAAUCCAGAGCUAAAUCAGGUCACACAGGUUUCUUUAUUUUGGAACUUCUCAGAGCCUUUAAAUGUGCUGAUACUUAUCAAGAAUCUGCUGCUGGGGACAGAGCACGCAUUUCUCUCACAUGUAUUAACUGUGGAGCAUCUCUGUCUUUUUCUGGCCAUACUUCUGAGAACCUUAAUUAAGAGCAGUGUCUCCCAGACUGGUGUAUGUGCAAGGGGAGGGCUUGUUAAAUGCAGAUUGGACCCUGCCCCUAGAGUUUCUGCAUUUCUCACAAAUUCCCAGGGGAUGCUGAUGGUCCAGGAACCACACUUUGAGAAUCACUGGUCUAGACUUAGCCCUUUAUUCCACAGAGAAGAAAAUAGUCACGCCAAAGGGUAUUUACUAACAACAGUAACCACAAAUUGAGCUGGUCACCUGCUAAUCACGCCUCAUGACUGUUUCAAUGUGAUAAUGAAAUCCAGUCACUAGAAAGGAGCUAGUACAAGGCAAAUAACACUUUCACUGCUUUAUGUUGCGUUACUCAAACAAAGGAUGGGGAUCAGAGUGGGGUUCCACCCCAAAGACUAGUCAAAGUCUUUCUGUCCUUGGCAGCAGUGUUCAGAAAUAAAUUCUGUGUGUAUUUUAAUCCUCUAGGCCUUAGUUUUUCUCAUCUAUAAAUGGAAGAGGAUGGAAAUUAUUUUUAUGGAUACUUUUUCUCUAGCAUUCCAUUUUAUUUUUGCUCCGAGUUUUUCUGGGUGUAUCUCAUGCUCUGCUACUUUAAUCUGUUACCACAUUAAGGUGUUGGAGACGGACAGUGUUAACACGGCAGGAGCACUGCAUUUUAAAAGAGCAUUCCUGAAGAGACGUGGUAAAAUCUAAAACAGUAAGGAGUAGGGCUCCAGCCCCAUAUGCCAGAGGUGGCUGGUUCAAACCCAGCCCCUGCCAAAAACUGCAAAAAAAAAAAAAAAAAUCUAAAACAGUGCAUCUCCUGGGUAGUGAGUUGUAAUAGUAAUAAUAACUAUUACUAAGUUCUCGUGGAGAAUAUUCCCAUGGUCUUUCAUGCUGCCUACUCAGAUGUCAGUCAGGGUCAUUUUUGGUUAAAUAUAUUGUUAGAGUUUCUUACAGGCAUUUCAGAAGUUCCUGGAAUUGUAUGAAUGCAGGAUUGUGAGUGUGUAUGGACACAUCCAUUUUUCUGCAGACAGGAUGAAGAAAUGUCAAGGGUCAUUGCCCUAGGGGGAAGGCCAGCCAGUAUUACUCAAUUCAGAUGAGUAGACUUACACCCCUGCUGAACUAUAGGUAGGGAGGAUCCUAACUCGGGGAGCCUGGAGGGAACUUUGGGUGUCCUAAAGCAGCCCCUAGAGUAGUGAGUUUCAGCCCAUGUGCCCUGGCACAGUGUGCCAUGAGAGGAUCUUAGAGGUACCAUGAAAAAAAUUAAAGAUCAUUAAUUAAAUUAUUUUGGAAAAAACCUCAAAGCAUAGUAAGUGUAUAAUUUAUGCCAUGGAAGUUUAUAGGUUCACGUGUGCCGUGAUACGAAAAAGGUUGCAAACCACUGCCCUAGGGAAUAGCAGCCUGUCCUAAGGUGAGGGGUGGACCUUCUCAUUACUCUCCCACAGCAGUGAUUAGUGUAGGGCAGCUUGUUCUCCCAGACCAGCCACAGGAACUAGACUUGGCCUGGGAGGCGUUGCCCUCUGCUGGGAGGUGGGUCCAGCCUCAUGCUUGUGGAAUGCGGUGAGAAGAGCCCAUGAGACAUGAGGCACAGGAGUGAUGGAUUUGGGGGUCUGCCCCCUCCCACUGCCACAUCCACUCUGAGGAUCCGCCGGCCUGCUGCUUCACCGGCACCCUCACACCUGCUGAGCACAGCUUACCCUGGAGCUCCCAGCUUGGAAUCCGCCUUCUUGUCACCUAGGAGUGUUCCUAGGCUGACAGGAACCUGAGGACAGGCUGUCCCACACAGUGCAGGUGCGUGCAAUGGAGCGAGCCCAAGGGCUGUGUGGGUGCAGCUGCCUCCAUGCCAGAGAGGUGGUCAGACUGGGGAGGGAAGAACCGGCUUCCUUCUGGCGGUCACCUUUACCCAAGCAGAACCAUACUAUCCACUCUGCGCCUCUUACCCCCGGACAGCGCUCCCUCUUCCUGUGUCUCCAUGGCCUCUGCGGGGCAAGGUGCCCCAGGCAGCACCAGUUCCCACCACUCCACUCCACACUGACCCAGUGCACACAGACCAUCCCCCUCCUGCUGUGUGUCUAGGUUCCCAGCCCCCCACCUGCUUUAGGGGCCCCGUGCCCCUUCCUGUCCUCUACCACCUGUCUCAGGAAGGCAACUCCAGCUCUGCUCUUUGCUUAGUGAGCAAGUGGAUUCAGAUGCACAGAGCCAUAAGCUAUGGAUGCGCUGGCUCCCUCCCUCAGAGGCUACUUCUCAGGGCUGGAAGUCCCGUCAGUUCUGCUGAAUACUAUGCUUGAAAAAACCAUGCCCAGUUUUGAUCCCUUCAAGACUUUGCCACAGCCUCUAUCACACAUCUGUUUUCCUUGAAGAAAAAAAUAUAAUAAAAAUGUUUUACUCUUUUACACUGUA